Molecule: ribosomal RNA, 497 nt
Filed under: uncultured bacterium
Lineage: Bacteria
Description: partial 16S ribosomal RNA
Rfam family: Bacterial small subunit ribosomal RNA
Source: RNAcentral
GAUGAACGCUGGCGGCGUGCCUAAUACAUGCAAGUCGAGCGAACGGACGAGAAGCUUGCUUUUCUGAUGUUAGCGGCGGACGGGUGAGUAACACGUGGAUAACCUACCUAUAAGACUGGGAUAACUUCGGGAAACCGGAGCUAAUACCGGAUAAUAUUUUGUACCGCAUGGUUCAAAAGUGAAAGACGGUCUUGCUGUCACUUAUAGAUGGAUCCGCGCUGCAUUAGCUAGUUGGUAAGGUAACGGCUUACCAAGGCAACGAUGCAUAGCCGACCUGAGAGGGUGAUCGGCCACACUGGAACUGAGACACGGUCCAGACUCCUACGGGAGGCAGCAGUAGGGAAUCUUCCGCAAUGGGCGAAAGCCUGACGGAGCAACGCCGCGUGAGUGAUGAAGGUCUUCGGAUCGUAAAACUCUGUUAUUAGGGAAGAACAUAUGUGUAAGUAACUGUGCACAUCUUGACGGUACCUAAUCAGAAAGCCACGGCUAACUACGUG